Long non-coding RNA from Ochotona curzoniae (black-lipped pika), 927 nucleotides. RefSeq lists it as uncharacterized. Lineage: Eukaryota; Metazoa; Chordata; Mammalia; Lagomorpha; Ochotonidae. The record is from RefSeq and is a predicted model, not a curated record. The transcript has 4 exons.
GGCCCGCCCGCGCGCUGCUUGGCGCCCAGCUUCGCUGCCGGCCAUCGCCUCGCCGGACCGCGCCGGGGGCUCACCCAGGUAGAAGAAUUCACCCCAAGACGGCACGGCUUCAAGAGCAAGACCUUUAAGAAACCCAGGGCCUGUGGGGUCUGCAAGCAGAUUGUCGUGGGCCGGGGCAGCUCAUGCCGAGCCUGCAAGUUUUCCUGCCACAAGAAAUGUGAAGCCGAGGUGCUGACGCCCUGCUGUGUACACGUGGACCUGCACCAGGUAAGCCCCUUGCCUGUCUGGGGCCGUCCAGCUGUGGAGUGGGCAGUGCUCCCGGCCCCGCCCCGUCCAUCACCAGAGCUCCUGUUGGGUGUAGACUGCUGAGGACUGCCCUGUCCACUCAGCUACUUUAGGGUUCACUUCCUGGAGGCCUAGUUUGCUGAACUGGACAUUGGCUGUGUCACUUGUGGCAGAGUGCAAUGGCUGCUGAACAGUCAGCUGGAUGAGUGCCGUGUGUGUGUGUGUGUGUGUGUGUGUGUGUGUGUGUGUGUGUGAGAAAGGUUGAUUUAUCUAUUAGAAAGGCAGAACUGCAGAGCAAGGGAGACACAAAAAGGGCUCUUCUGCCUGCUGGUUCACUCCCCAGACAACCUAAGCCUGGAGCGUGGAACUCCAUCAGGUCAUUAGCUGGGAGCUGGUUGUGAAGUAGAGCAGCUGGGACUGGGCUAGGCUCCCAUAUGAGAUGCCAGCACAGCAGGUAGCGGCUUACUGUGCUACUCCACAACGCUGACCCCACCAUGUGUUUUUAUCAGAUGGAAGUCAUAUGGGUAACGGUUUGUCUUUGCUUGUUGUUUGGGCAGUUGCUCUGUGGUCUAUUUAUUUACUUAAGAUUUAUUUUAUUUUUAUUGGAAAAUCAGAAAGGAGGAAAGACAGAGAGGAAGAUCU